CACGGCAUACCGACGAACAACUUGGAUGGAGGCGGGGGACCCACCGGUCCACCGAGUCAAACGGACCUUGGAGCCAUCGGCUCCUUGGGGUGAAGCCGGAUCGCCGAGUGAAAUCACCUGCGCGACACGGCCGGGCAUCCUCUCCAGCCCGAACCCGACAGCUGACCUCGCGGGCGCCGAAGAGAGGACCG
Molecule: small RNA, 191 nt
Filed under: Mycobacterium sp.
Lineage: Bacteria; Bacillati; Actinomycetota; Actinomycetes; Mycobacteriales; Mycobacteriaceae
Also listed under: 1 other name
Description: c-di-AMP sequence
Rfam family: c-di-AMP riboswitch aptamer (ydaO/yuaA leader)
About the family: This family represents a conserved RNA structure found upstream of the ydaO and yuaA genes in Bacillus subtilis and related genes in other bacteria. The ydaO/yuaA element is thought to act as a genetic "off" switch for the ydaO and yuaA genes in its native state. It is believed that the element may be triggered during osmotic shock leading to activation of ydaO, a predicted amino acid transporter gene, and members of the yuaA-yubG operon which code for KtrA and KtrB K+ transporters.
Source: RNAcentral